Molecule: ribosomal RNA, 253 nt
Filed under: uncultured bacterium
Lineage: Bacteria
Description: partial 16S ribosomal RNA
Rfam family: Bacterial small subunit ribosomal RNA
Source: RNAcentral
UACGAAGGUGGCAAGCGUUGUUCGGAUUUACUGGGCGUACAGGGAGCGUAGGCGGCUCGGUAAGCCCUCUGUGAAAUCUCCAGGCUUAACCUGGAACAGUCGGAGGGGACUGCUGGGCUAGAGGACGGGAGAGGAGCGCGGAAUUCCCGGUGUAGCGGUGAAAUGCGCAGAGAUCGGGAGGAACACCAAUGGCGAAAGCAGGUACCUGGACUAUUACUGACACUCAGCUGCGAAAGCUAGGGGAGCAAACAGG